AGGACGAACGCUGGCGGCGUGCCUAACACAUGCAAGUCGAGCGGAGUCGAUCGACGGAAGCCUUCGGGCGGAAGAUGGUUGACUUAGCGGCGGAUGGGUGAGUAACGCGUGGGCAACCUGCCUCGAAGACCGGGAUAACAGCCCGAAAGGGCUGCUAAUACCGGAUGUGGUCAAGGAUCCGCAUGGAUUUUGAUUAAAGGGGAAACCCGUUUCGAGAUGGGCCCGCGUCCUAUCAGCUAGUUGGUGAGGUAAAAGCUCACCAAGGCGACGACGGGUAGCCGGCCUGAGAGGGUGACCGGCCACACUGGAACUGAGACACGGUCCAGACUCCUACGGGGGGCAGCAGUGGGGAAUCUUCCACAAUGGGCGAAAGCCUGAUGGAGCGACGCCGCGUGAGCGAAGAAGGCCUUCGGGUUGUAAAGCUCUGUCUGGAGGGACGAAGGAAGUGACGGUACCUCCGGAGGAAGCCACGGCUAACUACGUG
Molecule: ribosomal RNA, 484 nt
Filed under: uncultured bacterium
Lineage: Bacteria
Description: bacterial SSU rRNA
Rfam family: Bacterial small subunit ribosomal RNA
Source: RNAcentral